ACUGCACAUUUUCUCCACUCUAUUCACAUAAGGAAGUGAUAGUAAUGCACAUACAUGGUUGCUGUGUAUUGUUCAGCGUCGCCAUUUCAGUAAGUCAAGUUUCACUAACACAGCAGCCGCACUGCCAUGAACUUAAGGGCUUUGAGCUUCCACAAACAGCUUUACUGAGCGCCAGUUUAUGAUACAUGGACCAGCUCAGCUGCCUUCUGCCCACUUUCGUUUCUAAGGACUGUCUGGAGUCCUGGCAGCUGAUUGGCUCUGGUGGAUUUGGACAAAUCCAUAGGGCAAAACAUACAAAAUGGGGGAUGGACGUUGCCAUAAAAUUAUUACAUUAUAACGAUGGCACCGAGAGUCUCCUCCGAGAGGCAGAGUUGAUGUAUCAGGGUGGGAACCCCAAUGUGUUGAGAAUUCUAGGUGUUUACAAAGCCCAAGGUCAAGAAGGCAGUUCUGCUAUUCAAGUGGGUUUAGUAAUGGAAUACAUGGAGAGAGGAUCUCUUUCAGACCUCCAGAGGGCUUUGAAUGGACCCCCACCCUGGCCGCUUACCUUCCGUAUUAUUAACCAGAUUGCCUUGGGAAUGAACUUCCUUCACCAGAUGAAUCCACCUAUUCUGCAUCUGGACCUUAAACCCAGCAAUGUGCUACUUGAUGACAGUCUCAAUGCCAAGCUCACAGAUUUUGGUCUGGCAAAAAUAGCCAGAAGUAGUUCCAAAGUAAUUGAAGAUAAAGAUGAGGAGGCUGCUGGGACCACAAGCUACAUGCCCCCAGAGGCAUUUGGGUCAUCGCCAUAUGUUCCUAACUUUUCCACUGAUGUUUACAGCUACGGCAUACUGUUGUGGUCAGUUAUCACUGGAAGGCAGCCAUACCACUUUAACAUCUCCAGUUUGUUGCGGUUUCGUAUCCGUGAAGGUGACAGGCCUGAUCUGACAUCUCUAGACAGCAGCCAAGCAGAUGGACUCAGCAAUGUAAUUGAUCUGAUGAAGUGCUGUUGGCACUCCGAUCCCAAAAUAAGGCCUAAAUUCAUUGAUUGUAUUGAGGUCACAAAAAAUGUGUAUGAUUUGCACCGACAACACGUUCCUGAUGCUGUCCACACCACUCUGAAACAGCUGGACAACAAAGAGAAAAGCUGUUCAAGUUCCACAUCACUCAGUAGGAAAUCUCAGACAAUGAAAGGAUUGAAACAACAUACGGAGCCUACUAAGAAGACUCUGGCAACUCCUACACAGGAAAUUGGUCCCAUCCCUGCACCAAACAGAGCAGUUCCAGGAAUGUAUUGCAGUUCUGCUCCAAGAGCUCCACUCCCUGUGAGUAUGCAGCGGCAAUUUUCAAGUCCAAGUUCUGUGAACAUGUGCUUAUCCAAUGUCACAGGAGUACAGAUUGGUAACAACAACUACAUGAAUGUGACUAUAAAAAAACCUCACAUGCCACAAUCUUGUCACCUGCAACGGCUGGGAGUACUGGUGAACCAUACGACACCCUUAAUUGAGGAUAAGGACAUUUGGUACUCUGGUCAGACCACCAGUAUCAGGCUACACUGAGGAUUGGAGGCCCGGUCUCCACAGAAAGCUGAGGACACAAAGUUUUUUCCAGCACAUCAUUAUGCAGAUCUUGAGUGGCCACAGCGUGCUACUGCUAUACCGCCAUCUCGGAAGUCUAAAGGGGGUGCUGAUCCAGUGGACCUGAGCUCUCAGACAUCAGGACCUCUUGUUGGCCUGUCUAGAGAAGAUGAUGGUCCUCAGAACGUCUAACUCUAACUGAGGCUUCGACUCCUGGGGAAAGCAAUGGAUAAGCCCCUUGAAUGCUGCUGACUGCUGCUUGGCUGGUACCUGUUGACAACGAUGCUCACAGCAUUACAGAAUCUGAAAAGAAAUUAGGUGUCCAUGAGAAAGGACUUUUCUUGUCCCUAAUCACAGAGAGCUUGAGUAAGUGAAUCUCUGAGGCUACUAUGGCUGCAAUGGUGCAAACCAUCAGCUUACUGACACAGAGGGCUAAAUCUGUGGCCUGGAAGAGAUUUGCCACAGAUUUAGGGUUUAGUUCCUCGCUGAUGUACAGCUCCCUCAGCAGGUCAGCCUGGUAGGGCUACAAGGCUGCAAUCUUCCAUAGUGUUCAGAGAAGCACCAACCUGACUCACUGCUUAAACUUUACCUAGGAGUGCCGAAGCCUAAGUGGCCCUACAUUGACCCUUUUUUUAUGUUAUCUCAAGAUUUUCUUUGCCACUUUUGCCACUCAUGUAAGCAAACCACCAACUAAUGUAAAACUAAUGAUUACCUUCAUGUUGUGAAACCCAGUUGUUUUAUAUGCAUUUCUGCCUAGUACUGUAGUUACUGAAACAGUUUGCUUAAAAGCAAAAAGAAAAACUUGUUUUUUUUAAACUUUUAUUGUUAUGCUUGAUAAACAAUAAAUCACUUUUUACUGACAUAGAUGUCAGUCUAAAUAA
Molecule: RNA transcript, 2434 nt
Organism: Tachysurus fulvidraco (yellow catfish)
Lineage: Eukaryota; Metazoa; Chordata; Actinopteri; Siluriformes; Bagridae
Gene: ripk3
Gene name: receptor-interacting serine-threonine kinase 3
Exons: 16
Source: RefSeq, a predicted model, not a curated record